This 350-nucleotide ribosomal RNA is filed under the name uncultured bacterium. RNAcentral's name for it is "bacterial SSU rRNA". It matches the Rfam family "Bacterial small subunit ribosomal RNA", at positions 355 to 721 of the family's 1533-position model. The record is from RNAcentral.
UGGGGAAUUUUCCGCAAUGGGCGAAAGCCUGACGGAGCAAUACCGCGUGAGGGAUGACGGCCUGUGGGUUGUAAACCUCUUUUAUCAAGGAAGAAUUUUGACGGUACUUGAAGAAUAAGCAUCGGCUAACUCCGUGCCAGCAGCCGCGGUAAUACGGAGGAUGCAAGCGUUAUCCGGAUUUAUUGGGCGUAAAGCGUCUGUAGGUUGCUUAGUAAGUCUGUUGUUAAAGCCUAAGGCUUAACCUUAGAUCUGCAGUGGAAACUGCUAAGCUUGAGUAUGAUAGGGGUAGAGGGAAUUCCUAGUGUAGCGGUGAAAUGCGUAGAUAUUAGGAAGAACACCAGAAGCGAAGG